This 73-nucleotide transfer RNA is filed under the name Ailuropoda melanoleuca (giant panda). It matches the Rfam family "tRNA". Rfam says of the family: Transfer RNA (tRNA) molecules are approximately 80 nucleotides in length. Their secondary structure includes four short double-helical elements and three loops (D, anti-codon, and T loops). The record is from Rfam by way of RNAcentral. Lineage: Eukaryota; Metazoa; Chordata; Mammalia; Carnivora; Ursidae.
GCCCAGGUGGCUCAGUCAGUAGAGCAUAUGACUCUUAAUCUAGGGGUUGUGAGUUCAAGCCCCAUGUUGGGCA